UACGCAUGCUCCUCGAUUAUGAUCGAUGAUCAAAAUGCAUCUCCAUGCUGAUUUUCAUGUGUGCUCCUUAGUUACGGCCAAAGAUCGGUACGCAUCUCCAUGUUGGUCACCAUGGUCUUUGUGCAUGCUCCUUGACUACGGUGAGGAUCAGUAUGUGUCUCCAUGCUGGUCUUCAUAAUCUCCACAUGCGCUCUUCAACUAUGGUUGAGGAUCGAUAUGCAUCUCCAUUCUGAUCUCCAUGGUCUCCGUGCAUGCUCCUCGACUACGACCGAGGAUUGAUAUGUAUCUCUAUGCUAGUUUCCAUGAUCUCCACAUAUAUUCCUCGACUAUGGUUGAGGAUCGGCAUGCAUCUCCAUACUGGUUUUCAUGAUCUCUGUGUGCACUCCUCGACUACAAUCAAAGAUUGGUACGUAUCUCCAUACUAGUCUCCAUGGUCUCUGUGCGUGUUCUUUGGCUAUGGUCGAGGAUUAGUAUGCACCUCCAUGAACUCUACCAUGCAGUCCUCGGCCAUUACUGAGGAUUAAUAUAUGCUGCCAUACGAACUCUCCUACACCUGGAUUUUUAACACUUGGUCCUCGGCCAAGCGAUCACACCCC
RNAcentral lists this long non-coding RNA (596 nucleotides) under Elaeis guineensis (African oil palm). RNAcentral describes it as "long non-coding RNA (EGUI_LNC027751)". The record is from RNAcentral. Lineage: Eukaryota; Viridiplantae; Streptophyta; Magnoliopsida; Arecales; Arecaceae.